Molecule: long non-coding RNA, 398 nt
Organism: Nothoprocta perdicaria
Lineage: Eukaryota; Metazoa; Chordata; Aves; Tinamiformes; Tinamidae
Exons: 2
Source: RefSeq, a predicted model, not a curated record
GUGGACUGGGGAGCAAAGGAGAGCCCAGCGGAGCGGGUUGUGCAAGCGCCAGGCUCUGCACCACCCAAGCAAACAGCUGCCAAGGCCGAGCGCAGCUCCAGGCACCCUGCUCGGUGCAAAUCUUUCAGGACGUGCAAUCAAGGCGUGCAAUUAAAUGAAAGAUCCAGCAGCUCAAACCCUCCUCUCCCGGGAGCAGCUGCUUGCAGCGAUUUGUGCUGCAGCGGCCAACGCAGGGCUGCAACAGAGCCGGCUCCUAUUUAAGCGGCAGGGACAGAGCAUCGAGGAAGACGCUGCUCCAGCGGGAAGGCUGCAGCAGGGGCCUAGGAGAGACCAGAAACCCCUGGCUUGGGGACGUGCAACAGCAACCGUCAACAGUGACGCUGCAGCAGGUGCCCAGG